Triticum urartu is the source of this 135-nucleotide non-coding RNA. Lineage: Eukaryota; Viridiplantae; Streptophyta; Magnoliopsida; Poales; Poaceae. The record is from Rfam.
UUGCUACUCUCCCCGUCCGAAAAUACUUGUCAUCAAAAUGGAUAAAAAGAGAUGGAUGUAGAACUAAAAUACAUCUAAAUACAUCCAUUAUUAUCCAUUUCAAUAACAAGUAUUUCCGGAUGAAGGGAGUAUAGA